RNAcentral lists this unclassified non-coding RNA (837 nucleotides) under Hevea brasiliensis (rubber tree). The record is from RNAcentral. Lineage: Eukaryota; Viridiplantae; Streptophyta; Magnoliopsida; Malpighiales; Euphorbiaceae.
GAAGAAGAAGAAGAACCAGCGGCAACAAUGUCUCGACAGCCAAAAGACCUCAGAAGACGGAGACGGCGGCGGAAAUCCCGAAUGGAAUCACACCAUGCAAUUUGAUCUCAAAUCCAUCUCAUUUCCUGAUCAGGGCGAUCAUCUAUUUCUCAUCUUCAAAUUACGCUGCGCAGGUUUAAUCUUUCGCAACAGAUGUAUUGGGAAAGUUCGCGUUCCAUUCAAGGACUUGAUCGACGAGUUCAACGGCGCUGUUAGGUUUGUCAGUUACCAGGUUCGAACUAGUGAUGGGAAGCCUAAUGGGGUCUUGAAUUUUUCCUAUAAGGUGAAGGGUAAGGCUGGGAAGAACGGAGAUGAUUCCCCUGCUCCGAGAGUAGACUUUCCAUCUAGAACUAGAAUUCAUUUUUGUCCAGAGAAAGUCCACCACCCACCAUUGCAAGUGCAACUUACGUCGCGAGACAAGUGCCUGUAUCCGUCCCUGGAUGAAAUCCGCUCUCCCUUGCCAGGAGUUAGGGCGCCUUCUCCAGAAUCUUAUAAUUGCAUUUUACCUCCACCGCCUUUUCCAUUGCCAGCUUUCGCGGUGGGUCAUGGUCCUUGUCCAUGGCCAUUGGUACAGAUUCCAGGGUCACAUUGGUACUCAACAGAGACAGCAUGUUAUGGUUACGGUCUGCGUGGGUAGCGUUGAGGGAGGGUAACUAGAGGGGUUGCCGUUAUCUUAGUUAACGUCACUAGUUUAUUGGCAAUUUCUAUGUAUUCCGUAUGAUGUCAGCUUUUUAGCAAUGGUAAUCAGAUUAAUCUACGAUACAAACGAAUUCUUCUAAAAUAAAGGUUACGGGUCUU